UAGGGAAUCUUCCACAAUGGACGCAAGUCUGAUGGAGCAACGCCGCGUGAGUGAAGAAGGUUUUCGGAUCGUAAAGCUCUGUUGUUGGUGAAGAAGGAUAGAGGCAGUAACUGGUCUUUACUUGACGGUAAUCAACCAGAAAGUCACGGCUAACUACGUGCCAGCAGCCGCGGUAAUAUGUAGGUGGCAAGCGUUGUCCGGAUUUAUUGGGCGUAAAGCGAGCGCAGGCGGAGUGAUAAGUCUGAUGUGAAAGCCCACGGCUCAACCGUGGAACUGCAUCGGAAACUGUCAUUCUUGAGUGCAGAAGAGGAGAGUGGAAUUCCAUGUGUAGCGGUGGAAUGCGUAGAUAUAUGGAAGAACACCAGUGGCGAAGGCGGCUCUCUGGUCUGCAACUGACGCUGAGGCUCGAAAGCAUGGGUAGCGAACAGG
RNAcentral lists this ribosomal RNA (429 nucleotides) under bacterium. Its description in RNAcentral is "partial 16S ribosomal RNA". It matches the Rfam family "Bacterial small subunit ribosomal RNA", at positions 355 to 776 of the family's 1533-position model. The record is from RNAcentral.